RNAcentral lists this ribosomal RNA (253 nucleotides) under uncultured bacterium. RNAcentral describes it as "partial 16S ribosomal RNA". It matches the Rfam family "Bacterial small subunit ribosomal RNA", at positions 524 to 776 of the family's 1533-position model. The record is from RNAcentral.
UACGUAGGGUGCGAGCGUUAAUCGGAAUUACUGGGCGUAAAGCGUGCGCAGGCGGUUUUGUAAGCCAGAUGUGAAAUCCCCAGGCUCAACCUGGGAACUGCGUCUGAUACUGGAUGGCUUGAAUUCGGGAGAGGGAUGCAGAAUUCCAGGUGUAGCGGUGAAAUGCGUAGAUAUCUGGAGGAAUACCGGUGGCGAAGGCGGCAUCCUGGACCGACAUUGACGCUGAGGAGCGAAAGCUAGGGGAGCAAACGGG